CGGCGAGUGAAGCGGCAAUAGCUCAAAUUUGAAAGCUGGCGUCUUCGACGUCCGCGUUGUAAUUUGUAGAGGAUGCUUCGGCGAAGACUCCUGCCUAAGUCCCCUGGAACGGGGCGUCAUAGAGGGUGAGAAUCCCGUAUGUGGCGGGCAGUCUAAGCCAUGUGAAGCUCCUUCGACGAGUCGAGUUGUUUGGGAAUGCAGCUCUAAAUGGGAGGUAAAUUUCUUCUAAAGCUAAAUAUUGGCCAGAGACCGAUAGCGCACAAGUAGAGUGAUCGAAAGAUGAAAAGCACUUUGGAAAGAGAGUUAAAAAGUACGUGAAAUUGUUGAAAGGGAAGCGCUUGCAACCAGACUCGCUCGUAGUUGCUCAGCCGGCCUCUUGGCCGGUGUACUCUUCUGCGAUCGGGCCAGCAUCAGUUCGGGCGGCCGGAUAAAGGUGUCGGGAAUGUAGCACCCUUCGGGGUGUGUUAUAGCCCGGCGCGGAAUGCGGCCAGCCUGGACUGAGGAUCUCGCUUCGGCAAGGAUGCUGGCGUAAUGGUUGUAAGCGGCCCGUCUUGAAACACGGACCAAGGAGUCUAACAUCUAUGCGAGUGUUUGGGUGUCAAACCCAUGCGCGUAAUGAAAGUGAACGGAGGUGGGAACCCUUCACGGGGUGCACCAUCGACCGAUCCUGAUGUCUUCGGAUGGAUUUGAGUAAGAGCAUAGCUGUUGGGACCCGAAAGAUGGUGAACUAUGCCUGAAUAGGGUGAAGCCAGAGGAAACUCUG
This 763-nucleotide ribosomal RNA is filed under the name Phyllosticta capitalensis. RNAcentral's name for it is "eukaryotic LSU rRNA". It matches the Rfam family "Eukaryotic large subunit ribosomal RNA", at positions 87 to 866 of the family's 3401-position model. The record is from RNAcentral. Lineage: Eukaryota; Fungi; Ascomycota; Dothideomycetes; Botryosphaeriales; Phyllostictaceae.